Molecule: ribosomal RNA, 2286 nt
Filed under: Triticum aestivum (bread wheat)
Lineage: Eukaryota; Viridiplantae; Streptophyta; Magnoliopsida; Poales; Poaceae
Description: partial small subunit ribosomal RNA
Source: RNAcentral
AUGGAAGAGGACAAGAAGCAGAGAGGAAGGCAGGGCCACCCCCUCCUGCGGGGAGGAGGCGCGAGGACGGAGCCCUACACGCACGGCUUCUCCGCCACCCAGAUGAUGUCGCUCACCGCCGUCUGCGGCGCGCUGGUCCCGUCGCUGCCGCCCGACGCCCACCACCUGGCCGCUGACAAGGCCGUCCGGGACUUCUUCCUCGCAUCCGCCGCCGACCCGCCCGUUCCGGACGAGGUGGCGCAGCUGAUGUCGGCAAUGUGUCUCCGGGAGGCGCUGACGCUGGUGCGGACGGUGCUGUGGCUGCUGGGCACGCGGCUGGGGACGCUCGCGCUGUGCGGCGCCCGGUGCCUGUCGUGGAGCUCCCCGUUCGUGCAGCGGUUCGCGGAGAUGCCGGUGGACCGGCGGGAGGACGCGCUGCGCCGGUGGAGCCGGGAGACCAUGCUCCCGCCUCUGCGCCUCUUCUUCCUCCUCGUCAAGGUCUUCUGCCUCUACGUCUUCUACUCCUGGACCGACGAGAACUCGGAGAAUCCUCACUGGCGAGCAAUCGGCUACAGCCCGGCAACGGACGAGGCUACGGAGCAAGAGGAACAAGCAAACACCAAGCGGCCACUCGACGACGGCGUGGUCGAGACCAUCCACCAGACGGACGCGUCCCUCCCGACUAGCCUCGCCGAAAAGGGCCUCGCGGUGACCGAGGACGCGUCGCGUAACGUGUGCAGGAUCGAGUGCGAUGUCGUCAUCGUCGGCUCCGGCUGCGGCGGGGGCGUGGCCGCCGCGGUGCUCGCAGGGGCCGGCCACAAGGUGGUGGUCAUCGAGAAGGGGAACUACUUCACGGCCAGGGACUACACGUCCAUCGAGGGCCCGUCGAUGAGCCAGCUCUACGAGUACGGCGGGUUCGUGAGCACGAUCAGCGGCAGCGGGCUCCUCCUGGCCGGCUCCACGGUCGGCGGCGGCUCAGCCGUCAACUGGUCGGCCUGCAUCAAGACACCCGACAGCGUGCGCAAGGAGUGGGCGGCCGCGCACGGCCUGCCGCUGUUCGACAAGUCAGAGUACGCCGCCGCGAUGGACGCGGUGUUCAAGCGGCUUGGCGUGACGUCGGGCUGCAAGGAGGAGGGGCUCCAGAACAAGGUCCUGCGCAAGGGGUGCGAGAAGCUGGGGUACAAGGUCGAGCCGGUGGCGAGGAACUCGUCGGAGGGCCACUACUGCGGCAGCUGCGGGUACGGCUGCCGCACCGGGGACAAGCGCGGCACGGACACGACGUGGCUGGUCGACGCGGUGGCCCGCGGCGCCGUGAUCCUGACGGGUUGCAAGGCGGAGAAGCUGCUGUUCACUGACGCGGCCGGUGCGAGGGGGAAGCGGUGUGUCGGUGUGGUGGCUACCAGCUCCAACCCGGCGAUCACGAGGAAGCUGGAGGUGCGCGCCAAGGUGACCGUCGCAGCGGGCGGCUCCCUCCUCACGCCGGUGCUGCUGCGCGGCAGCGGGCUCAAGAACCCGCACAUCGGCAAGAACCUCCACCUCCACCCGACCGCCAUGGCGUGGGGCUACUUCCCGCCGGGCAAGAUGCCGGAGCUGAAGGGCAAGAUGUACGAGGGCGGCAUCAUCACGUCCCUGCACAAGGUGGAGGCUGCCGGCGGCGACGGGCUGCCGCACCGGGCCAUCCUGGAGACGCCGCUGAUGGGCGUGGCCGCCGCGGGGACGCAGUUCCCCUGGGUGUCCGGGCGCGACAUGAAGGAGCGGAUGCUCAACUACGGGCGGACGGUGCACAUCUUCUCCCUGGUGAGGGACCGCGGGUCGGGGACGGUGCACGGCGAGCGGCGGAUCGCGUACCACCUGGACCCGGUGGACAGGGAGAACCAGCGCGAGGGGCUGCGGAGGGCGCUGCGCAUCCUGGUGGCGGCCGGCGCGACGGAGGUGGGCACGCACCGGAGCGACGGGCAGAGGCUGAGGUGCAAGGGCGCGACGGAGGAGGAGGUGGAGGAGUUCCUGGACGGCGUGACCGGGGUGCGCGGGCCGCAGUCCAAGAGCGAGAACUGGAGCCUGUGCUGCACGGCGCACCAGAUGGGCAGCUGCAGGAUGGGCGCGACGGCCGGGGACGGCGCCGUGGACGCGCGCGGCGAGAGCUGGGAGGCGGAGCGGCUGUACGUGUGCGACGGCAGCGUCCUGCCCAGCGCGGUGGGCGUCAACCCCAUGAUCACCAUACAGUCCGUGGCCUACUGCCUCGCCACCGGCAUCGCGGAGCAGCUGAAACGCGACCCGUCCUCCGGGAGAAACCACUCCACAGAUUAA